UUUCUCUUCAGUUCAUAUAAAUCUUUCGCCUUUUACUAAACAUUUCCGUGGAGAGAAA
Molecule: small nuclear RNA, 58 nt
Filed under: Monopterus albus (swamp eel)
Lineage: Eukaryota; Metazoa; Chordata; Actinopteri; Synbranchiformes; Synbranchidae
Description: U5 spliceosomal RNA (ENSMALG00000008422.1)
Rfam family: U5 spliceosomal RNA
About the family: U5 RNA is a component of both types of known spliceosome.
Source: RNAcentral